CAACUUAAGGUGGUACCCAACACUUGCACUAAAAUUAAUUUGGCUCGUUUAAUUUUUAUAAAAUUUUGUCAAAGUACUUAAUUUCAAAAAUUUUGAACCAACCAUUUUGUCAGAAAAAUUACACUGGUUAUAUAGCAGUUUGACAGACACCAAUUUUUAUCAUUGAGAAGCUUUAUAUUCCCUUUACAACACAACGUAAUCAAAACGUUUAGCUGACUUUACAGAGUUAUCUCCCUGUAGUGUUAAGUACCACCUUAAAUGGUUUAAUUCAAUAAAAUGCAGUCUUUCUUAUACAUUGUUAUAAAGUUUACGAAUUUGCAAUUAUCGAAACAUAUUAACGUACACCAUUGGAAAUAACUUGAUAUUUUCA
Molecule: long non-coding RNA, 370 nt
Filed under: Mytilus galloprovincialis (Mediterranean mussel)
Lineage: Eukaryota; Metazoa; Mollusca; Bivalvia; Mytilida; Mytilidae
Source: RNAcentral